This 496-nucleotide ribosomal RNA is filed under the name uncultured bacterium. RNAcentral's name for it is "partial 16S ribosomal RNA". It matches the Rfam family "Bacterial small subunit ribosomal RNA", at positions 28 to 506 of the family's 1533-position model. The record is from RNAcentral.
GAUGAACGCUGGCGGCGUGCCUAAUACAUGCAAGUCGAGCGAACGGACGAGAAGCUUGCUUCUCUGAUGUUAGCGGCGGACGGGUGAGUAACACGUGGAUAACCUACCUAUAAGACUGGGAUAACUUCGGGAAACCGUAGCUAAUACCGGAUAAUAUUUUGAACCGCAUGGUUCAAAAGUGAAAGACGGUCUUGCUGUCACUUAUAGAUGGAUCCGCGCUGCAUUAGCUAGUUGGUAAGGUAACGGCUUACCAAGGCAACGAUGCAUAGCCGACCUGAGAGGGUGACCGGCCCCCCUGGACCUGAACCCCGGCCACACCCCUACGGGGGGGCAGAGGUGGGGAAUCUUCCCCAAUGGGCGAAAGCCUGACGAGGCAACCCGGCGUGAGUGAUGAAGGUUUUCGGAUCUUAAAACCUUUUUUUUAGGGAAAAAAAUUUUUUAAAGUAACUGUCACCCUUUUGACGGUACCAAAUAAAAAGCCCCCGGUAAAUUCCUU